RNAcentral lists this ribosomal RNA (435 nucleotides) under uncultured bacterium. RNAcentral's name for it is "bacterial SSU rRNA". It matches the Rfam family "Bacterial small subunit ribosomal RNA", at positions 958 to 1392 of the family's 1533-position model. The record is from RNAcentral.
AACGCGAAGAACCUUACCUGGGCUUGAAAUGCAAUCGACGGUAGUGGAAACAUUACUUCCAGCAAUGGCGAUUGUGUAGGUGCUGCAUGGUUGUCGUCAGCUCGUGCCGUGAGGUGUCGGCUUAAGUGCCAUAACGAGCGCAACCCUUAUCAUUAGUUGCCAUCGGGUCAUGCCGGGAACUCUAAUGAGACUGCCACCGUAAGGUGUGAGGAAGGUGGGGAUGACGUCAAAUCAGCACGGCCCUUACGUCCGGGGCGACACACGUGUUACAAUGGGGGGUACAGCGGGCAGCUACCUGGCGACAGGAUGCUAAUCUCUGAAAGCCUCUCUCAGUUCGGAUCGGAGUCUGCAACUCGACUCCGUGAAGCUGGAUUCGCUAGUAAUCGCGCAUCAGCCAUGGCGCGGUGAAUACGUUCCCGGGUCUUGUACACACCG